Long non-coding RNA from Lacerta agilis (Sand lizard), 323 nucleotides. RefSeq lists it as uncharacterized. The transcript is spliced from 3 exons. The record is from RefSeq and is a predicted model, not a curated record. NCBI's taxonomy places the organism in Eukaryota, Metazoa, Chordata, Lepidosauria, Squamata, Lacertidae.
GGCUUGUCUCCAGCACAGACGGCGUCAGCGGCGUCGAGUCACGGAAGAGCUGAACGGGCUGUGUGUGCUGCUUGCGGCUGACUUCCAGGAGAAGGCUUUUAUCAACCUCACAGACAUCAUCGAAACCAAGUUAUUAAGCCAGAGGAGCAAAGAGCGGGGGAAAAGGGACACCAACAGUCACAAAAUCGGCGCCGUCAACACCAACAAGUUUGAUUUGGUUGCUAGUACUGUAUGCAAAGAAAACUAUUCUACAGAUGGGAGCUCUGAGUUUGGCUGCAAAAUUCUUGAAUCUAACAACAACAACAACAACAACAACAACAACA